GAUGAACGCUGGCGGCGUGCCUAAUACAUGCAAGUCGAGCGAACGGACGAGAAGCUUGCUUUUCUGAUGUUAGCGGCGGACGGGUGAGUAACACGUGGAUAACCUACCUAUAAGACUGGGAUAACUUCGGGGAACCGGAGCUAACACCGGAUAAUAUUUUGAACCGCAUGGUUCAUCAGUGAAAGACGGUCUUGCUGUCACUUAUAGAUGGAUCCGCGCUGCAUUAGCUAGUUGGUAAGGUAACGGCUUACCAAGGCAACGAUGCAUAGCCGACCUGAGAGGGUGAUCGGCCACACUGGAACUGAGACACGGUCCAGACUCCUACGGGAGGCAGCAGUAGGGAAUCUUCCGCAAUGGGCGAAAGCCUGACGGAGCAACGCCGCGUGAGUGAUGAAGGUCUUCGGAUCGUAAAACUCUGUUAUUAGGGAAGAACAUAUGUGUAAGUAACUGUGCACAUCUUGACGGUACCUAAUCAGAAAGCCACGGCUAACUACGUG
Molecule: ribosomal RNA, 497 nt
Filed under: uncultured bacterium
Lineage: Bacteria
Description: partial 16S ribosomal RNA
Rfam family: Bacterial small subunit ribosomal RNA
Source: RNAcentral